AAGACUAUACUUUCAGGGAUCAUUUCUAUAGUUUGUUAUUAAUCUUUGACAUAUGUUUACUUUCUAUUUCCAUGGA
Molecule: small nucleolar RNA, 76 nt
Filed under: Urocitellus parryii (Arctic ground squirrel)
Lineage: Eukaryota; Metazoa; Chordata; Mammalia; Rodentia; Sciuridae
Also listed under: 1 other name
Description: Spermophilus parryii (Arctic ground squirrel) Small nucleolar RNA U3
Rfam family: Small nucleolar RNA U3 (bases 1-41)
About the family: Small nucleolar RNAs (snoRNAs) are involved in the processing and modification of rRNA in the nucleolus. There are two main classes of snoRNAs: the box C/D class, and the box H/ACA class.
Source: Rfam by way of RNAcentral